UACGUAGGGUGCGAGCGUUAAUCGGAAUUACUGGGCGUAAAGCGUGCGCAGGCGGUGACACAAGUCAGAUGUGAAAGCCCCGGGCUCAACCUGGGAACUGCGUUUGAAACUAUGUCACUAGAGUGUAGCAGAGGGGGGUGGAAUUCCACGUGUAGCAGUGAAAUGCGUAGAGAUGUGGAGGAACACCGAUGGCGAAGGCAGCCCCCUGGGCUAACACUGACGCUCAGGCACGAAAGCGUGGGGAGCAAACAGG
This 253-nucleotide ribosomal RNA is filed under the name uncultured bacterium. RNAcentral's name for it is "partial 16S ribosomal RNA". It matches the Rfam family "Bacterial small subunit ribosomal RNA", at positions 524 to 776 of the family's 1533-position model. The record is from RNAcentral.